UACCCCGCCUGGAACUUAAGCAUAUUCAAUAAGCGGAGGAUAAAGAAACUAACAAGGAUUCCCCUAGUAACUGCGAGUGAAGCGGGAAAAGCUCAAAUUUAAAAUCUGGCAGUCUCUGGCUGUCCGAGUUGUAAUCUAGAGAAGUGAUGCCCGCGCUGGACCGUGUACAAGUCUCCUGGAAUGGAGCGUCAUAGAGGGUGAGAAUCCCGUCUCUGACACGGACUACCAGGGCUUUGUGGUAUGCUCUCAAAGAGUCGAGUUGUUUGGGAAUGCAGCUCAAAAUGGGUGGUAAAUUCCAUCUAAAGCUAAAUAUUGGCGAGAGACCGAUAGCGAACAAGUACCGUGAGGGAAAGAUGAAAAGAACUUUGGAAAGAGAGUUAAACAGUACGUGAAAUUGCUGAAAGGGAAACGCUUGAAGUCAGUCGCGUUAGCCAGGGAUCAGCCUCGCAUUUUUGUGUGGUGUAUUUUCUGGUUGACGGGUCAGCAUCAAUUUUGACUGCUGGAAAAAGGCUUGGGGAAUGUAGCAGCUUUUGGCUGUGUUAUAGCCUCAUGUUGCAUACAGCAGUUGGGAUUGAGGAACUCAGCAUGCCGCAAGGCCGGGUUUCGACCACGUUCAUGCUUAGGAUGCUGGCAUAAUGGCUUUAAGCGACCCGUCUUGAAACACGGACCAAGGAGUCUAACAUACCUGCGAGUGUUUGGGUGGUAAACCCAAGCGCGUAAUGAAAGUGAAAGUUGAGAUCCCUGUCGUGGGGAGCAUCGACGCCCGGACCAGAACUUUUGGGACGGAUCCGCGGUAGAGCAUGUAUGUUGGGACCCGAAAGAUGGUGAACUAUGCCUGAAUAGGGUGAAGCCAGAGGAAACUCUGGUGGAGGCUCGUAGCGAUUCUGACGUGCGAAAGUCUCUCGUCAGAAUACGCCUAUGAAGGUGAGAGAAGUUCCCCUACAGUACCCCC
Molecule: ribosomal RNA, 952 nt
Filed under: Leucocoprinus lahorensiformis
Lineage: Eukaryota; Fungi; Basidiomycota; Agaricomycetes; Agaricales; Agaricaceae
Description: LSU rRNA
Rfam family: Eukaryotic large subunit ribosomal RNA
Source: RNAcentral